UACGGAGGGUGCGAGCGUUACCCGGAUUUACUGGGUGUAAAGGGCGUGUAGGCGGUUUCUCAAGUCCGAUGCUAAAGACCGAAGCUCAACUUCGGGAGUGCGUUGGAUACUGUGAGGCUAGACGGUCGGAGAGGGUAGCGGAAUUUCCUGAGUAGCGGUGAAAUGCGCAGAUACAGGAAGGAACGCCAAUAGCGAAAGCAGCUACCUGGACGAUUUGUGACGCUGAGGCGCGAAAGCGUGGGGAGCAAACCGGAUUAGAUACCCGCGUAGUCC
This 273-nucleotide ribosomal RNA is filed under the name uncultured bacterium. RNAcentral describes it as "partial 16S ribosomal RNA". It matches the Rfam family "Bacterial small subunit ribosomal RNA", at positions 524 to 796 of the family's 1533-position model. The record is from RNAcentral.